RNAcentral lists this ribosomal RNA (482 nucleotides) under uncultured bacterium. Its description in RNAcentral is "partial 16S ribosomal RNA". It matches the Rfam family "Bacterial small subunit ribosomal RNA", at positions 30 to 507 of the family's 1533-position model. The record is from RNAcentral.
AUUGAACGCUGGCGGCAUGCCUUACACAUGCAAGUCGAACGGUAACAGGUCUUCGGAUGCUGACGAGUGGCGAACGGGUGAGUAAUACAUCGGAACGUGCCCGAUCGUGGGGGAUAACGAAGCGAAAGCUUUGCUAAUACCGCAUACGAUCUACGGAUGAAAGCAGGGGACCGCAAGGCCUUGCGCGAACGGAGCGGCCGAUGGCAGAUUAGGUAGUUGGUGGGAUAAAAGCUUACCAAGCCGACGAUCUGUAGCUGGUCUGAGAGGACGACCAGCCACACUGGGACUGAGGCACGGCCCAGACUCCUACGGGAGGCAGCAGUGGGGAAUUUUGGACAAAGGGCGAAAGCCUGAUCCAGCCAUGCCGCGUGCAGGAUGAAGGCCUUCGGGUUGUAAACUGCUUUUGUACGGAACGAAAAGACUCUGGUUAAUACCUGGGGUCCAUGACGGUACCGUAAGAAUAAGCACCGGCUAACUACGUG